UCUUACCCAACUUAGAUAGCAUUUCCCCUAUUUGAGAAACUCCAACAUUAUAAAUAAUACUCAGGGGUUCUUAAUUGCUCUCUACUUCUUGUUCAUAAGGAUGACAUGGACUAGAUCAGUCAAUGUGAUGAUCCAGCAGUAGUAAUUGGUUCAAAGGGCAAAUGAUUUCACAGGAUCUAUCUAGACCUUCUUUGAUAUAGAACCCUUCAAGGAAUGAAAUUUUCUUUUUGCCGAUAUUGCCAAACUGAUGACAAAAACUAGAGAGCCUGAGACACUACCUCUGCUGUGGAGCCAACUUAAGUGAGAGAUUCUUGGGGUAUUACAUUCUAAGGCCCUGGUUCUAGCCUUGCUACCAUAAAAUUUGAACCACCCAGUAACCAAAAAAGUGAGUUAUUUGGCUUGCCACAGUUUGAAUUUCUGUCAUUUAAACCCCUCGAGAAUCCCAGACAAUAGAGUUGUCAAUACCAGGACAAUUAGAUAAAUAAUUUUGUAAAACAAAGUAUUUUCUAAUACUGGGGAUUGAAUCCAGGACUUUACAUGCUAGGCAAACACUCUGCUACUGAGCUACAUCCCCCGCUCCCCCAUGUUUUCCCCUUAAGACAGGUUCUCAGUAAGUUGCUCAGGCUGGCCUUGAACUUCGGGAGGUUGAGGCCUGCCUCAACUUCCCAAAGUAAAAACCCUCAGUUUUAAACAUCUUGUAGUUAUAAAUCCUUUCAUAAUUACAUAUUCUCAUUUUCUUUCUUUAAAAAAAAAUUUUAAUUGCUUGUAGUCUGUAGUCAUUUUUACUGCAGGUUUUCAUAUUGUUUGGUUAUAGUGAUAGAUAUAAAUGUAUUACGUGUCUGUUGACCAUUCAAAGGGCCUAAAAACUUUGGAGGAAUACUUGUUUAUAUGUGGUGCCCACUUUUUU
This 907-nucleotide long non-coding RNA is filed under the name Marmota monax (woodchuck). Lineage: Eukaryota; Metazoa; Chordata; Mammalia; Rodentia; Sciuridae. The record is from RNAcentral.